ACUGUGGCAGCAUAUACUAAAAUUGGAAUGAUACAGAGAAAGUUAGCAUGGCCCCUGCGCAAGGAUGGCAUGCAAAUUCGUGAAGCGUUCCAGUUCCAC
Small nuclear RNA from Scleropages formosus (Asian bonytongue), 99 nucleotides. The record is from Ensembl. NCBI's taxonomy places the organism in Eukaryota, Metazoa, Chordata, Actinopteri, Osteoglossiformes, Osteoglossidae.